UGAGCAAACAAGACCUCCGGUCUUUUUCUCAAAUCUUGUUUCCCUAUCAGUUCAUCAAAAAAUAUGUAGCUAGGAAGACGAACAUUAAAAUGCUUCAAAAAAAAUUUAUAAUCAAACGUUGAGGAGUUCCUUUUUCCGUGUUCACAAAGCCAUAGCUAAACAUACAGCAGGGAUAGGAGAAUUUGAAACAGGUAUAAAAAAUUUCGAUUGCGUCUCAGGUUUGCAGCAGACUGCGAACCGCGGCCUUUUGAUAGUAAUAUGAGGAAUGUUUCCAGUAACCAGUUUUAUAAGAGCUUCAGGAGGCAUCGGUAAUGAUUGUUGUUGAUUGACAACUUCAAAGUACCGGUUGGUUCACAAAAUCAAUUCAUUUUUCCCUACACUUGUCCUCACGGAAGACUGUUCAAAACGUCAUACGUACAAACUCAUCAUCUCGGGCAUAUGGCGCCAUGUCACUCACUUGACCCAAACUUUACCUGGAUGUCCACGUAUGUAACGCAAAGCAUAAAUAAACAAAUACAGCGCUUACGCCACUCCAGAUGUGGGAGGCACAAUGGAUGCAUACUGGACGCUAUGUGUCCCUUGGAAAUUGGUGGUGUGGCUUGCUUGUCGAGAAAACAGAAAACAGAAAACAUCUGCCUUACGACGAUCAUUGAUAUUUUCGUAUUCUGAGCAAAGAGCCUCCUUUACUCAGAAACAAUAGUAAGGAUGAAUUUCUCAGAAAUUGAGACCCAUCCAAUCGCAUCACACCAACUCGCCUAAUUAGCAUAACGCUCGCAUUGAAUUUCUGGGCUUUUUCUUAAGUUAAAAACGACGUGUUAAGACACUAUUUUUAAAGUUCCAGGAGGACAGACUUUCGCCAUGUCGAGCGGGUUGGAUAAUUUAUUUGCUGAAGCAAUGCUCGAUCAAGACGAGCAUUUGGAGAUGUACAAACAGCAACUGACUAAACUAAAAGAACAGGGUUUACUACCAAACAUGAGCGUGAGGUUGGAGUAUAAAGUUUACUCGAUAAAAUCAAGCGGUUUUUGUGCCCACAAAUCCAUUGUUCUCACGACAACUGAUCAGCAUUUCGUCUCUGUAGAACUUGGCUUCAUCAUAUUUGACGGUGUAAAGCAUACUUGUCCAGUGGCGAAGAAAGUUGACGAAGCUAAUAAGAGCAAGAUGAAGUUUCUCGGACGAGUCUUCACCACUGGAGAUGAGCUGAUUGUUAAGGCCAUAAAGGCGAUGAAACGUUUUGGAAGGUAUUUUAAGCUUUCCAACAACUGCCAGGACUACUGUAACAUAUACGCAGAGGAGAUUGGAUUAAAACCAGCCAAAACGGACAGGGAUAAAGUGAUAGCUGGAAUCAUGAUCACCGUUAUCAUUGCAAUUGUCUUUGCUUUUAUAUCGCCGUUUGGUGAAAAAAAUCCCAAAUGAAUGCUGUGACAGACUGGAAACAAAAGCACCCAAAAAGUGCAUAUGGUUUUUAUCCAACUGGUAAUGGGAAACAAACCCGGCUCUCAGUAUUCUGCCUCAAGACGCAGAAUUCAUUUCUUGUGAUCGCAAUUUUUGUUUUAGAGUGAAAUUAAAGAUGUGGAGCAGCGAAUUUUACGAAUUAUAAUUUUAGAGAAGCAUAGGAUUAUGGAACUUGAGAACUUGAGAACUUGAGACAGAAAUUAUGAACUGGACGCUGUUGAUGCCCACAACUAGCGGAGCAUGUUUUUAGUCAUGUUUUUUACCUCUGUAAGUUUACUUCGCUGCGUAACAAGUAGUUUUAUUUGCUCUCUAAACAAGACCUCCUCUAGCUUUAUCGUUCUAUUUGAGGGCCAGUCCAAUGUAACAUUGUCGAACGUACGAAACAAAUGAUAAAGAUCAUUAUAAGUUCGCUUUCAAUGCUCCGUCGAUUAAUGCCGCAAGGUGCACGCACGCACGCACGCACACACGCAAAAUCGCAAAACGACCCAGCUGAGUCUCAUUUUGUUGCUGAUUCUCGUCUCCUUUUCCCGCAGUUCAAAAUAUUUCUCCACUUUUCCUUCUUAAAUAAAAACCAACCAUUCAUAUCUCAGUUCACCCUGGACUAGCUAGAACCUCACCACUUCCAGAUACCACUUAUGUUAUCGUGGCAGUUUAUUUUUCCACUUUAUUUUAGGUGAUUCCUCAGCAUUGCACUGUGCAUCCUGUACUGCGCAUAAAAAUCACGAAUUCUGGCGAAUAAGCGCGCGCGCAUUCCGAGAACAUGGUGGUGUUUUUUAUUGAUGGAAUAGGUAAAGGUCCCACGGUCUUUCGCUCUUGAACGAGCACGGUGACAUAUAAUUUUUUUUGCAUAAUUUUGCUGUACAAAUUAUCCCUAAAAAUUGGAGAAGUCAAAAAAAAUUCAUCGAAGGAAAAGUAUUCGAUUAAGCUCCUCUGACCCAAUUAUGAAAGAGGGUCUCAAAGGGAUGAUGGUUAAAAUGGUUAUGAAACUUAAAAAUUGGACGAUU
This is an unclassified non-coding RNA of Stylophora pistillata, 2456 nucleotides long. The record is from RefSeq and is a predicted model, not a curated record. Lineage: Eukaryota; Metazoa; Cnidaria; Anthozoa; Scleractinia; Pocilloporidae.